RNAcentral lists this transfer RNA (75 nucleotides) under Candidatus Woesearchaeota archaeon. Its description in RNAcentral is "tRNA-Lys". It matches the Rfam family "tRNA". From Rfam's summary of the family: Transfer RNA (tRNA) molecules are approximately 80 nucleotides in length. Their secondary structure includes four short double-helical elements and three loops (D, anti-codon, and T loops). Lineage: Archaea; Nanobdellati; Candidatus Woesearchaeota. The record is from RNAcentral.
GGGUCCGUAGCUCAACCUGGCUAGAGCACAAGACUCUUAAUCUUGGGGUUGCGGGUUCGAAUCCCGUCGGACCCA